RNAcentral lists this transfer-messenger RNA (352 nucleotides) under Lachnospiraceae bacterium. It matches the Rfam family "transfer-messenger RNA". From Rfam's summary of the family: Bacterial tmRNA, also known as 10Sa RNA or SsrA, is named for its dual tRNA and mRNA-like properties. Its role is to liberate the mRNA from a stalled ribosome. The record is from RNAcentral. Lineage: Bacteria; Bacillati; Bacillota; Clostridia; Lachnospirales; Lachnospiraceae.
GGGCUUGUACUGGUUUCGACGGGGGUUUUGAAGUUUGGGAAGCCAUCCGUGGACUCCGGGACCACGAUAAAACCUGGAAACUUAAAAUUAAACGCUAACGAUAACGUAGCACUGGCUGCCUAAGCGCGGCCUGUCGGACUUCCGCUUCCCGCGGCGGAUUCAUCCGGCAUCGACUUUAGCGGGGCACUUUUUCUCCUAAGCUUUGCGGAGCGAAAAGAUUUUAUGAAGCUACUGAAGUCAUAAGCCUGUUGGCCGGCGUAUGACAGAGGGAAUGUCAAAAGACCGACUGUGAUGGGAGAUGCCUGGAUGAAUAGGCUUUCGGACAGGGGUUCGAUUCCCCUCAGGUCCAUCU